RNAcentral lists this ribosomal RNA (301 nucleotides) under uncultured bacterium. RNAcentral describes it as "partial 16S ribosomal RNA". It matches the Rfam family "Bacterial small subunit ribosomal RNA", at positions 509 to 807 of the family's 1533-position model. The record is from RNAcentral.
CAGUAGCCGCGGGAAUACGAAGGGUGCAAGCGUUAAUCGGAAUUACUGGGCGUAAAGCGCGCGUAGGUGGUUUGUUAAGUUGGAUGUGAAAUCCCCGGGCUCAACCUGGGAGCUGCAUUCAAAACUGACUGACUAGAGUAUGGUAGAGGGUGGUGGAAUUUCCUGUGUAGCGGUGAAAUGCGUAGAUAUAGGAAGGAACACCAGUGGCGAAGGCGACCACCUGGACUAAUACUGACACUGAGGUGCGAAAGCGUGGGGGGCAAACAGGAUUAGAUACCCGUGUAGUCCCUGUCUCUUAUAC